UAACGCGUGGGAAUCUGCCUUGGAGUGGGGGAUAACCGAUGGAAACGUCGGCUAAUACCGCAUACGUCCUGAGGGAGAAAGAUUUAUCGCUCUGAGAGGGGCCCGCGUCGGAUUAGCUAGUUGGUGAGGUAAAAGCUCACCAAGGCGACGAUCCGUAGCUGGUCUGAGAGGAUGAUCAGCCACACUGGGACUGAGACACGGCCCAGACUCCUACGGGAGGCAGCAGUGGGGAAUAUUGGACAAUGGGCGAAAGCCUGAUCCAGCAAUGCCGCGUGAGUGAUGAAGGCCUUAGGGUUGU
This 298-nucleotide ribosomal RNA is filed under the name uncultured Sphingomonadaceae bacterium. RNAcentral's name for it is "partial 16S ribosomal RNA". It matches the Rfam family "Bacterial small subunit ribosomal RNA", at positions 111 to 426 of the family's 1533-position model. Lineage: Bacteria; Pseudomonadati; Pseudomonadota; Alphaproteobacteria; Sphingomonadales; Sphingomonadaceae. The record is from RNAcentral.